GAUGAACGCUGGCGGCGUGCCUAAUACAUGCAAGUCGAGCGAACGGACGAGAAGCUUGCUUCUCUGAUGUUAGCGGCGGACGGGUGAGUAACACGUGGAUAACCUACCUAUAAGACUGGGAUAACUUCGGGAAACCGGAUCUAAUACCGGAUAAUAUUUUGAACCGCAUGGUUCAAAAGUGAAAGACGGUCUUGCUGUCACUUAUAGAUGGAUCCGCGCUGCAUUAGCUAGUUGGUAAGGUAACGGCUUACCAAGGCAACGAUGCAUAGCCGACCUGAGAGGGUGAUCGGCCACACUGGAACUGAGACACGGUCCAGACUCCUACGGGAGGCAGCAGUAGGGAAUCUUCCGCAAUGGGCGAAAGCCUGACGGAGCAACGCCGCGCGAGUGAUGAAGGUCUUCGGAUCGUAAAACUCUGUUAUUAGGGAAGAACAUAUGUGUAAGUAACUGUGCACAUCUUGACGGUACCUAAUCAGAAAGCCACGGCUAACUACGUG
This 497-nucleotide ribosomal RNA is filed under the name uncultured bacterium. RNAcentral's name for it is "partial 16S ribosomal RNA". It matches the Rfam family "Bacterial small subunit ribosomal RNA", at positions 28 to 507 of the family's 1533-position model. The record is from RNAcentral.